Molecule: ribosomal RNA, 253 nt
Filed under: uncultured bacterium
Lineage: Bacteria
Description: partial 16S ribosomal RNA
Rfam family: Bacterial small subunit ribosomal RNA
Source: RNAcentral
UACGAAUGGGGCAAGCGUUGUUCGGAAUCACUGGGCGUAAAGCGUGCGUAGGCUGUUCUACAAGUCAGAAGUGAAAGCCCUGGGCUUAACCCAGGAAUUGCUUUUGAAACUGUAGGACUGGAGUCCCGGAGAGGUUAGCAGAAUAUCCAGUGUAGAGGUGAAAUUCGCAGAUAUUGGAUGGAAUACCAGUGGCGAAGGCGGCUAACUGGACGGGUACUGACGCUGAGGCACGAAAGCGUGGGGAUCAAACAGG